This 492-nucleotide ribosomal RNA is filed under the name uncultured Sphingobacteriales bacterium. Its description in RNAcentral is "bacterial SSU rRNA". It matches the Rfam family "Bacterial small subunit ribosomal RNA", at positions 888 to 1382 of the family's 1533-position model. The record is from RNAcentral. Lineage: Bacteria; Pseudomonadati; Bacteroidota; Sphingobacteriia; Sphingobacteriales.
CCCGCUCAGAAACUUAAAGGAAUGACGGGGGCCCGGCACAAGCGGUGGAGCAUGUGGUUUAAUUCGAUGAUACGCGAGGAACCUUACCUGGGCUCAAAUGUAUGUUGACGUAUUCUGAAAGGGAUACUUCUUCGGACAAUAUACAAGGUGCUGCAUGGUUGUCGUCAGCUCGUGCCGUGAGGUGUCGGGUUAAGUCCCAUAACGAGCGCAACCCCUAUCAUUAGUUGCCAUCAGGUCAAGCUGGGGACUCUAAUGAAACUGCCUACGCAAGUAGUGAGGAAGGUGGGGAUGACGUCAAAUCAUCAUGCCCCUUAUGACCUGGGCUACAAACGUGAUACAAUGGCUGGAACAAAGGGAUGCGAAGCAGUGAUGUGGAGCGAAACCCAUAAAAACAGUCUCAGUUCGGAUUGAAGUCUGCAACUCGACUUCAUGAAGUCGGAAUCGCUAGUAAUCGCGGAUCAGAACGCCGCGGUGAAUACGUUCUCGGGGUUU